UGGCUCAGUCGGUAGAGCAUGAGACUCUCGAUCUCAGGGUUGUGGGUUCAAGUUCCAC
Molecule: transfer RNA, 58 nt
Filed under: Ailuropoda melanoleuca (giant panda)
Lineage: Eukaryota; Metazoa; Chordata; Mammalia; Carnivora; Ursidae
Rfam family: tRNA
About the family: Transfer RNA (tRNA) molecules are approximately 80 nucleotides in length.
Source: Rfam by way of RNAcentral